UACGAAGGGGGCUAGCGUUGUUCGGAAUUACUGGGCGUAAAGCGCACGUAGGCGGAUAUUUAAGUCAGGGGUGAAAUCCCGGAGCUCAACUCCGGAACUGCCUUUGAUACUGGGUAUCUUGAGUAUGGAAGAGGUAAGUGGAAUUGCGAGUGUAGAGGUGAAAUUCGUAGAUAUUCGCAGGAACACCAGUGGCGAAGGCGGCUUACUGGUCCAUUACUGACGCUGAGGUGCGAAAGCGUGGGGAGCAACAGGG
RNAcentral lists this ribosomal RNA (253 nucleotides) under uncultured bacterium. RNAcentral describes it as "partial 16S ribosomal RNA". It matches the Rfam family "Bacterial small subunit ribosomal RNA", at positions 524 to 776 of the family's 1533-position model. The record is from RNAcentral.